Small nuclear RNA from Phascolarctos cinereus (koala), 104 nucleotides. The record is from Ensembl. Lineage: Eukaryota; Metazoa; Chordata; Mammalia; Diprotodontia; Phascolarctidae.
GUGCUCACUUUGGCAGCACAUAGAUAAAAAUUAAAAUACAGAAAAGAUUAGCACAGCCCCUUUACAAGGUCGAUAUACAAAUUUGUGAAGCAUUUGAUAUUUUA